CUUAGCUUGCAUUGUAUUCCUCUUGUUCUUUUGCUCUCUAUUAUGACAAGAAACAUGGGGAAGCUUUUUAAGAAGCAUGUAGGAGUUGUAGUUGUGGUGUUUGUGUUGGUGUUAGGGUUAGUUGAAUGUCGAACAUUUCAAAAGGAUAAAUUUACUAUCAAACAUGGAGGUGGCUUAGAUGGUGAUGGAGGCAUUGGAGGAGGGGUCGGUGGAGGCGGUGGUGUUGGUGGAGGAGUUGGUGGUGGUGUUGGUGGUGGAGGGUAUAGUCACCCGGAGGAGUAGCAGUGAAUGCGUGAUCCUGCUGGGCAUAGGACUCGGGCGCUGGUGGUGCAGAGGGCGCGGAGGAAGCCAUUGGAUUGGCUGAAACGAGAUUUUGAAAAUGAG
Molecule: unclassified non-coding RNA, 384 nt
Filed under: Hevea brasiliensis (rubber tree)
Lineage: Eukaryota; Viridiplantae; Streptophyta; Magnoliopsida; Malpighiales; Euphorbiaceae
Source: RNAcentral